GACCAAACUCCAUGUGACCGAUGUUCCAUAAAAGUGAACAAGAAUGAGUCUUUCCAAGACAUGAAAAAAUAACAGGUGCCACAUCUCACACCCCUAGUAUUAAAAGUUUUAAAUGCAGGCAAUGCAAUAUUUAUCACCUGAGAUAAUAAAAAGGCAAGUCAGUAUUUUCCCUUCACAAAUUCAAAGGGCUUGAGCAAAUGCAAGGGUGGAGAAUCAUUUUCAGUUGAAGUCUUAUGAAGAUUAUUUUGAGCUGCUUCUCUUUUGCCCCCCCCCCCCCUUUAUAUCAAUAAGAAUAUUUGUUGGACGAAUCCAGGGUUCCUGAAGAUGCAGUUGCUGAUUGCUUUGCUUUUUAUUCAUGAGAAAGUGAUAUAAUUCAUUGAAGCUUGUCGAUCUGCAGUGCUCCCAGGUGACUGAUCCCUGAAAACACCAUAUCAGUACUUUAUUAGUAUUACCGGAUAAAAUUAAAUCUGUUGAAGCCCCUGAAGGUUUACACAUUCUGUUUCAUUGGAAAUUCUGAGAAAGUCUUGGCAAAUCUGUAUAGAGGAUAAGAUGGUUUAGGCUGCAGGGAAUAAAAACAUGGGUAUAAAUAUUCUAAAGGCUCAGUUGAAACUUGUGGUAUAUUAGCAGUCACACAGUUUGAGUAUACAGAUGCAAUAAUUUAAAAAUGUGUAAGUUUGAUCAGUAACUGAGAUGAAGUCAAAACAGAGCUAAAAAAGCAAGAGUCACACUGGAUAAAAGCGGGAAUUAAAUUCACUGGAAAGGGGACCUAGAAAACACAUGACUCUGAAGCAUUAUAGACAGGAGCAGGUCCACUCUUGGAACUUCAUAACAAGAGAAAUGGAUCCAUCUUGACUUUAGCAAACAAAAAUAAAUAUAUAAAGGGAACUUCUGCAUGUCAAAUCUGUUAUUUGGGUUUCACUCCAUGAUGUUUCUUGAUCUUGUCUGAUGCCUAAGUGUCCUGACCUUUGACUUUCUUGACCAAGUCUUGCCAGACAAUGUGUGCUGCAAUAGCUAAUCUGGUUUUACCCAGCAUGUGUGAUUACGAGUUACAAGGCACUCAAUUAGGGGAUGAAAAGUCUACCAGUUAGCAGGAGGCACUUACUGAAGCACUUCCUGAAAGGUGUCUGUUAUAUGCAGGAGAGCACACUGAGACUGGGAUCUCUGUUCAGAUGAUGGGUUUUGAACUCCAUUUUCCAAUGGAAAAGUCACCUUAUUUAUAUGAUAAACUAUUGGUAAUUAAUAGGAGGGAAGGUCAUUUAAAAAAGAGGAUUCAGGGGAGUGGUUAUGAAAGUGUGUUAAAAUGAUGAAGAGAAGAAACUGGAGUAGGGUGGGAAGGGUAGAAUUAAUUGAAAGAGGAGUGAAUUUAAAUUGCAAAAUUGGAAUAGUGAGAGAGUGGGGGGAACUUACUGAAAAAUAGUGAAUAAGGGGAGAAAGAUUGUUUUAGGAGUAGAAACUGUAAUGGAUGGUUGCAAAAUACUUUUUGAUAAAGUUUUUGAGAUGAAAGGGAGGUUGACAAAAUUUUCUGUUCCCUAAGCACAUGGCGCACUCUAAUAAUCAUAAAAUUACUUUAUUCUUUAUACUUCACACAUGAGGGGCAAAGCAUAAGCUCUUUAUCCAGAUUCCCACAGUUUUCUGCUUCCUCGCAGGAAAAAAACACAGGUAAAGUGCUUGGUGAAUAUCUGACUGUAAAUACUGAACCACUGAAAACAAAUCCACACAUUUAAUAUCACUUUUGGCCAUAGGUUAAAAAGUUUUUUGCAAAAGAAAGAAGCAAGACUUUCAUUUUCUGAGAAAAGCUGAAAAUAAUAAAAUCCUGAUUCAAAAUUGAAAUUUGGAAGCAUUAAUAUUUAUUUUCUUAUGGGUUUAUCCAAGCUCACACAAGCUCUGUAGAUCUAUAAAAAUGCUGAAAGCAUUCUUCUUUUGAUUCAUUUUAUAUCAGGAUGAAAGCAGGAUAAAUAAUAACUGAUGAGAAGUAAGCAAUUCUUAUAUUUCCAACUGUAGGUAAGUUUGUGGAGGACAAGGAUUGGGUGCACACUGAAUAUCAAGCACCAUACUUGCUACUCAGUAGCAGUAGGGAAGUUAUAGUUGGGUAACAUGAAGAGUAAGCUUCCAGAUCACCUUUAUAAUUAUUUAGAGCUAUGGGUCCCUUUGUUGGAUUACUUUUCAGUUAAGUCUCUGGACCUCUAAAACACCAGUGAGAUGGUUGUGGUUGGAAGGGGUCAUUGUUUCUGAUAAAGGCCUAGAGCCAUCUCACCUUUUUGUAUUUCUUUCUUCCUCUCUCUUUGAUGUUAUAAUAUUGUGUAAAUGCUGUUUAUUUUAAUAUCUUUCUUUUUUUUGUCUUCAUAACUAUGUUUGGUUAAAAAAAGAAAAAUCAAUAAAAAUAAACAUUUAAUUAAUAAAGGAAUUCAUAAAGGAAUACAAUUUGUAUGGCCAGGACAAUUGUGUAUGUGCUAGCUAGAAUUCCACAGAAAUUACCUUUAUAAUCAGUGUUAAUAGAGAUUAAGUAAGAAUUUACUCAUUAACAUAAUCAUGUGUAAACAUUUUAAUGAGUAAACCCGCAAUAUUUUGGAUUAUGUCAUCAUCAAUGAUCUUGUUAAUUAGUUGGGAAUUACAAAAGAGGUAUUUGUGUUUCUUCAUGUCUUCAUGAUUAUAAUGAAAAGCCUGGAAGAGUGCCAUUAAACAGUUUUGCAAAGCAGUUUUUAACACACAGUUGUUAUAUCUGUCAUAUGUUUUCUAACAUUCAGAAAGAAAUACCCAGACUAAAUGGGCAUUUAUUUCUUGUUUAUAAUAAAUCUAAAAGAUCAAAGGGGCUGUGGAGAGGAGAGAUGGAAAUCAAGCUCAAUGCAAUAAAAAUCAAGACCUCAGCUUCAAAGAAAACACUGCACAGGCAACAAAUAAAUGUUAUGUCAAUACAAAUUAAUGCUUUUAAUUUUU
Xenopus laevis (African clawed frog) is the source of this 2934-nucleotide long non-coding RNA. RefSeq lists it as uncharacterized. The record is from RefSeq and is a predicted model, not a curated record. The transcript has 2 exons. NCBI's taxonomy places the organism in Eukaryota, Metazoa, Chordata, Amphibia, Anura, Pipidae.